RNAcentral lists this ribosomal RNA (164 nucleotides) under Lilium pensylvanicum. RNAcentral's name for it is "5.8S ribosomal RNA". It matches the Rfam family "5.8S ribosomal RNA". Rfam says of the family: 5.8S ribosomal RNA (5.8S rRNA) is a component of the large subunit of the eukaryotic ribosome. It is transcribed by RNA polymerase I as part of the 45S precursor that also contains 18S and 28S rRNA. Lineage: Eukaryota; Viridiplantae; Streptophyta; Magnoliopsida; Liliales; Liliaceae. RNAcentral also lists the same sequence under 1 other name. The record is from RNAcentral.
UAUACGACUCUCGGCAACGGAUAUCUCGGCUCUCGCAUCGAUGAAGAACGUAGCGAAAUGCGAUACUUGGUGUGAAUUGCAAAAUCCCGUGAACCAUCGAGUCUUUGAACGCAAGUUGCGCCCGAGGCCUUUCGGUUGAGGGCACGCCUGCCUGGGCGUCACGC